This 96-nucleotide microRNA precursor is filed under the name Nicotiana sylvestris (wood tobacco). Its description in RNAcentral is "MIR6152 microRNA precursor family". It matches the Rfam family "MIR6152 microRNA precursor family". The record is from Rfam by way of RNAcentral. Lineage: Eukaryota; Viridiplantae; Streptophyta; Magnoliopsida; Solanales; Solanaceae.
UGGACAGAUUAUUGCAUUCGACUGUAUUCACGGCGUGAAACGGGGGAUUACACUAUUUUUAAAAGGAAAGUGAAUCAAUUAACAUAAUAGACUCCU